AGAGUUUGAUCAUGGCUCAGAACGAACGCUGGCGGCGUGCUUAACACAUGCAAGUCGAGUGCGCGUUUCGUAGCAAUACGGAAUGGCGCACGGCGCACGGGUGCGUAACACGUGGGUAAUCUGCCCUUCGGUGGGGAAUAACCCCGGGAAACCGGGGCUAAUUCCGCAUGACAUUCUUUGGACUUCGGUCCGGGGAUUCAAAGCAGCAAUGCGCCGAUGGAGGAGCCCGCGCCCGAUUAGCUAGUUGGUAGGGUAACGGCCUACCAAGGCUUUGAUCGGUAGCUGGUCUGAGAGGAUGGCCAGCCACACUGGAACUGAGACACGGUCCAGACUCCUACGGGAGGCAGCAGUGGGGAAUCUUGCGCAAUGGGCGAAAGCCUGACGCAGCGACGCCGCGUGGGGGAUGAAGCAUUUCGGUGUGUAAACCCCUUUCGAUCCGGACGAAUGCCCGCAAGGGAGUGACGGUACGGAUAUAAGAAGCCCCGGCUAACUACGUGCCAGCAGCCGCGGUAAGACGUAGGGGGCCAGCGUUGUUCGGAAUUACUGGGUGUAAAGGGUCAGUAGGCGGUGUGGCAAGUCGGGAGUGAAAUCUAUGGGCUUAACCCAUAGGCUGCUUCCGAAACUGCUGUGCUUGAGUGUGGGAGAGGCGCGUGGAAUUGCAGGUGUAGCGGUGAAAUGCGUAGAUAUCUGCAGGAACACCCGUGGCGAAAGCGGCGCGCUGGACCACAACUGACGCUGAAUGACGAAAGCUAGGGGAGCAAACAGGAUUAGAUACCCUGGUAGUCCUAGCCCUAAACGAUCAGGACUUGGGGUGCCACCCGUUCGGGUGGCGUCCCGGAGCUAACGCGUUAAGUCCUGCACCUGGGGAGUACGGUCGCAAGACUGAAACUCAAAGGAAUUGACGGGGCCCGCACAAGCGGUGGAACAUGUGGUUCAAUUCGACGCUACGCGAGGAACCUUACCUGGGCUCGAA
RNAcentral lists this ribosomal RNA (973 nucleotides) under uncultured bacterium. RNAcentral describes it as "bacterial SSU rRNA". It matches the Rfam family "Bacterial small subunit ribosomal RNA", at positions 8 to 985 of the family's 1533-position model. The record is from RNAcentral.